Long non-coding RNA from Gavialis gangeticus (Gharial), 66 nucleotides. RefSeq lists it as uncharacterized. NCBI's taxonomy places the organism in Eukaryota, Metazoa, Chordata, Crocodylia, Gavialidae. The transcript has 3 exons. The record is from RefSeq and is a predicted model, not a curated record.
AACUAAUAAACUCUACAGUAGGUUCAUACUUGUAUUUACAAGUACUAACCUGUGGCAGAGUUUAUU